UGUUAGCGUAUCUAUUUUAUGUUAGGGUUUUAUUGGUGAUGUUCAUUAUCCAUUUAUAUAUGGAAAUGGCUUGCUCCUUGUUCUCGAGCUGUUGACGAUUUUGAAGAUGGAUUACUCAUAUGUUGAGUUUUGAUGCUAUUGCUUGUUCAAUUUCANNCGGUAAGAUUGCCCAUGCCACCUUGAAAGGACCGAGUGUUGUUAAGGAGAUAUGUAAGGGGG
This 219-nucleotide unclassified non-coding RNA is filed under the name Hevea brasiliensis (rubber tree). The record is from RNAcentral. Lineage: Eukaryota; Viridiplantae; Streptophyta; Magnoliopsida; Malpighiales; Euphorbiaceae.